RNAcentral lists this ribosomal RNA (250 nucleotides) under uncultured bacterium. Its description in RNAcentral is "partial 16S ribosomal RNA". It matches the Rfam family "Bacterial small subunit ribosomal RNA", at positions 83 to 334 of the family's 1533-position model. The record is from RNAcentral.
CUUGGUGACUGAGUGGCGGACGGGUGAGUAACGCGUAUGCAACCUGCCCGAUACCGGGGUAUAGCCCAUGGAAACGUGGAUUAACACCCCAUAGUACUUUUAUCCUGCCUGGGAUGGGAGUUAAAUGUUCAAGGUAUCGGAUGGGCAUGCGUCCUAUUAGUUAGUUGGCGGGGUAACAGCCCACCAAGACGAUGAUAGGUAGGGGUUCUGAGAGGAAGGUCCCCCACAUUGGAACUGAGACACGGUCCAA